UUCCUUCGUCGCCCCCAACACCCCAUCACAGCGUCGCCGAGCAUACAUCUGACACGGAUCUAAGCCGCCGCCGACCGGCCCCGUCGCCGAGCCACUCCACCGCCGACCACUGCCCUCCGCCGUCCACUGUCCUUUGCCACCACCAUACUCUGCGAGCUUUCUCCCCCGAGCAGGACUUGUCACCAGAGCACCGACCAAGCCUGCCUCCUCUACGUCCUCUGCCCCAAGCAACGGAGCGUCCGUCCCCUCCCGCGAGCAGCUCUGCCUCCUCCACUUCCUUGUCCCAAACCAGAGCAUUUGAUAGUCGUUGCAUUGCUGGAGGAAAGAGUGAGUAAAGAUCAUGCAGGAAUGAGUUUUAAUCCUGCUUGAAUCAUAGGCAGAAAUUUCGGUUGUUUUGUCUGUAAAACUGCAAAAUAUGUUCCAGAGGUAAAAACCAAAAUGCACUUAAAGCUGGCCAGAUUUGGAGAUCUUUUUACAAGUUCAUGGAUUACAGAUUUAGGAAUUAGGAAUUUAUGUAUACGACCAAAUUUUAUCAUCCCAGUAUCUUGUGUAUCUAGUAUGGUAUACUGUGGCAUGGCCUGCACUAACGUUCACAAGACUGCUGUCUGGCUUAAAAAAUGCAGCAAAGGUGAUGCUUGGUUCGAUCUGAUCUGUUAGCAAGUGUUUGUGAUGCACUCUAUAGGUUGCAAGUUGUUGGGUGGCCGCCUAUUGGGAGCUACCGGAAGAACAGACUAGCCGCCAAUGCCAUAAAGACCAAGGUUGAGAACAAAGGUAGAAGCGAGGCAGGAUGCUGCUAUGUCAAGGUCAGCAUGAAUGGAGACCCAUACCUAAGGAAGGUCGAACUCAAGACUUAACUCGAGCUAUACGAAAACAUUUCCCUAGCGAUCCAGAAGAUGUUCAGCUGCUUCAUCACUGGAUCGCAUACACUAUGAUCAGAUCUUUUUGGCAGAUUUGAGUACCUUGAGCUCUCAUUUGGAGAAAGCAUCAUUUUUUAGUUUCAGAUUCAUAUCGGCAUGGAAAGUUUAUAGUACCACACGAAGCAAUCAUGCAAAACAUGUUCCUGCAAAACAUCAACAAGGAUAGGCUCACAAAUGGUUCUAGGACAGAUGCUCUUAGGGACCAAGAGUAUGUCCUGACCGAUGAGAAUAAGGAUGCUGAUUAGAUGCUCUUUGGCAAUCUUCCUUGGAAGUUUCUCAAAGAUACAGAAGUUGCUGGAGGUUUGGAAGAUCUACAAGUUGGUGGAGUGAUAAUAUAUAUGUAAUAUGCCUUGUUUGUUGAACCUAGAGACAUUGCAAAGUUUUACUGUGCUCAUUUUGGUUGUUGUUUUGGCACCCAAGGCACUGUAUCCUCAUUUUGCUUGUGUGUCAUGAUCUUUCUUUAUCUCGAAACUUAUGUACAUAUGUAUCUGGUCUGUUUAUGAUAUUGAAUGAGGCCUUACACAUAACUUUGAUUGAACCGCAUGUAUAACUUGUGAUCUGUCA
Molecule: long non-coding RNA, 1481 nt
Organism: Triticum dicoccoides
Lineage: Eukaryota; Viridiplantae; Streptophyta; Magnoliopsida; Poales; Poaceae
Exons: 5
Source: RefSeq, a predicted model, not a curated record